GACGAACGCUGGCGGCGUGCUUAACACAUGCAAGUCGAACGGAAAGGCCCUGCUUUUGUGGGGUGCUCGAGUGGCGAACGGGUGAGUAACACGUGAGUAACCUGCCCUUGACUUUGGGAUAACUUCAGGAAACUGGGGCUAAUACCGGAUAGGAGCUCCUGCUGCAUGGUGGGGGUUGGAAAGUUUCGGCGGUUGGGGAUGGACUCGCGGCUUAUCAGCUUGUUGGUGGGGUAGUGGCUUACCAAGGCUUUGACGGGUAGCCGGCCUGAGAGGGUGACCGGACACACUGGGACUGGGAGCCGGCACAGACGCGGACGGGGGGCAGUGGUGGGGAAUCUGGAACACGGGGCGGACGCGCGGCGCAGGACCGGCGGGGGCGGAGUGCCCGACGUGGGGUAUUAACCCGCUGCCGCCGGUGAGGAAGGGUGAGUGAUGGUAAGGGAUAAAGAAGCCCCGCCUAGCUACGUGCCGGCAGCGGCGGUAAUAGGGAACAGCACACGCUUUAAC
RNAcentral lists this ribosomal RNA (507 nucleotides) under uncultured bacterium. RNAcentral's name for it is "partial 16S ribosomal RNA". It matches the Rfam family "Bacterial small subunit ribosomal RNA", at positions 35 to 539 of the family's 1533-position model. The record is from RNAcentral.